CGAGGGAGAUAUUCUGAGGAAGUGGUGGUGGGGAUGGUAAUGUUGAAGAAUUUUGAGAUGUGGAUGUUGUCGAAGAAUUUUGAGAUGUUGAGGUGUGUGAUGAUGAUGAUGAUCUUGGCUCCCCCAUUGGUUGGUGAAUGAGAACAGGGAAGAGAAGAUCAAUGCCAUCAGAGAGAAAGAGAAAAGUUAAUUGGUUACAACAAGUUUUUAGAAUUGAGCGUUCAAGUUUUGUUUUGAGUUUUGCGGCUUAAGAUGGUUCUUCGGAACUUAAAUUUGUAUAUCAACCUGUUUCUUUCUCUUAAUUUUAUAACUACUCCUUAUUGAGCGUUUGAUGUGUAAUGCUUUAAAUAGAA
This 353-nucleotide long non-coding RNA is filed under the name Medicago truncatula (barrel medic). RNAcentral describes it as "lncRNA gene18367". Lineage: Eukaryota; Viridiplantae; Streptophyta; Magnoliopsida; Fabales; Fabaceae. The record is from RNAcentral.